GCACUACUGAGGAGUCACACAAUAAAACGAAACGGCCGUCCAGUAC
Molecule: non-coding RNA, 46 nt
Filed under: Schistosoma haematobium
Lineage: Eukaryota; Metazoa; Platyhelminthes; Trematoda; Strigeidida; Schistosomatidae
Source: RNAcentral